GGAGACCCCGCCUGGUACCUUCUGUUCAGUGCCGGCUUCACUGCCUGGAGCCUUGACAGCGCCGCCAGCCGGCCGUGGAAACAAGUGGGGAGACCGAAACAUUGAAAACCAAUGCAAGACUCCUCGGAGAGCUCUAAGAGUUCAUUUGAAGUACAUCAGAAAACUGUGGAGAAAAAUGCUAUGAACACAAGGAGUGUGGAAAACCCUCUGUUUGUCCUUGUCCAUUUUGUACACAUGGAAGAACUCACAGAGUAGACACCUGUCAGGAAUAUAAAAUAUAAAC
Long non-coding RNA from Nannospalax galili (Upper Galilee mountains blind mole rat), 283 nucleotides. RefSeq lists it as uncharacterized. The record is from RefSeq and is a predicted model, not a curated record. NCBI's taxonomy places the organism in Eukaryota, Metazoa, Chordata, Mammalia, Rodentia, Spalacidae. The transcript is spliced from 3 exons.